This 797-nucleotide long non-coding RNA is filed under the name Pan paniscus (pygmy chimpanzee). RNAcentral describes it as "lncRNA (ENSPPAG00000045279.1)". The record is from RNAcentral. Lineage: Eukaryota; Metazoa; Chordata; Mammalia; Primates; Hominidae.
AUGGAAGGUGGGGAGUGGGGAGCGUGGGACACGGCCUCUGAGUGUCGACCAUCUUGCUUCUCCACCAGCUGGGACCGCAGCGUCACCACCGGUGUGGCUGGAAUCUGUAUCCCACUCCUGGGCCUUCUCCCGGGUCGGGGUCUUCUCCAGGGUUGGGGUCAGAGUCAUCUCUGUGAGCUCCAUCAGGAGAAACUGAGGCAGGGUGGUGGUCAAAAAAAGGAGGAGAAGACGGUAGAGAGGGCCAGGCACGGUGGCUCAUGCCUGUCAUCCCAGCACUUUGGGAGGUUGAGGCAUGUGGAUCAUCUGAGGUCAGAGGUUCGAGACCAGCCUGGCCAACGUGGUGAAACCCCAUCUCUGCUAAAAAUGCAAAAAAUUAGCUGGGCGUGGUGGUGUACGCCUGAAAUCCCAGUGACUCGGGAGGCUGGGGCAAUCUCGGCUCACUACAACCUCCGCCUCCCGGGUUCAAGCGAUUCUCCUGCCUCAGCCUUCCAAGCAGCUGGAAUUACAGACGCCCACCACCAUGCUCGGCUUAUUUUUAUUUUAUUUUAUUUUUUUGAGACAGAGUUUUGCUCUGUCACCCAGGCUGGAGUGCAGUGGCGUGGUCUUGGCUCACUGCAACCUCCGCCUGCUGGGUUCAAGCAAUUCUCCUGCCAAAGUGCUGGGAUUACAGGCGUGAGCCACCAUGCCCAGACUUUUUUAUUUUUAUUUUAUUUUAUUUUAUUUUAUUUUAUUUUAUUUUAUUUUAUUUUAUUUAUUUGAGACGGAGUCUCUGUCUGUCACCCAGGCUGGAGUGCAGU